RNAcentral lists this transfer RNA (72 nucleotides) under Scolopsis vosmeri (whitecheek monocle bream). RNAcentral's name for it is "tRNA-Thr". It matches the Rfam family "tRNA". From Rfam's summary of the family: Transfer RNA (tRNA) molecules are approximately 80 nucleotides in length. Their secondary structure includes four short double-helical elements and three loops (D, anti-codon, and T loops). The record is from RNAcentral. Lineage: Eukaryota; Metazoa; Chordata; Actinopteri; Spariformes; Nemipteridae.
GCAUCGGUAGCUCAGGCCUAGAGCGCCGGUCUUGUAAACCGGAUGUCGAGGGUUAAAAUCCCUCCCUGUGCU